UUUUGUGGCCAUACCAACUUGUCAGUGGCUCAUCUUGUCUGAUCUUGGACGCUAAGCGGGUUGAGCCUGGUUAGGACUUGGAUGGAAGACCACUGUGAUUAGGUUCCACAAUGG
RNAcentral lists this ribosomal RNA (114 nucleotides) under Periophthalmus magnuspinnatus. Lineage: Eukaryota; Metazoa; Chordata; Actinopteri; Gobiiformes; Gobiidae. The record is from RNAcentral.